This is a long non-coding RNA of Dicentrarchus labrax (European seabass), 1140 nucleotides long. RefSeq lists it as uncharacterized. NCBI's taxonomy places the organism in Eukaryota, Metazoa, Chordata, Actinopteri, Moronidae. The record is from RefSeq and is a predicted model, not a curated record. The transcript has 4 exons.
CAUCCUUGAUCCUAGCUAAUCCUCUGAGCUAAUCUCUCAAUCAUGAGUGAGAGCCAAGAAGGAAGACAGGAAUAGUCAAGAUUGUUACAGCACAAACUCAUACCAUUCAAGCCUUUCAAUGGGAGGAGAAGCCUCAGUGCUAUAAAACACCACCAGUCCCAAAGGCAGGAGGUCCUUGGGGAUAGGACCAUGUGCACCACUAUGGUGGUCCUCACCACCAUCGCUCUCAUCCUGCGGCAGAGAUUUUCCGGCAAAAUCUGGCCGCAGAAAGAGGCUGUUGAGAAAGAUGUGCCAUACAUGAAGAGCAAUGGAGCAGCAGAAACCCCAAAAAGACAACAGUGAGCAUCACAGGACAAGACCAGAGUGGGCCAUCAAGUCCGGUGAGCAUCAGUGGCCGCUGCUAUCAAGAUAUUUUCCCCCAGAUACUACAAGAGAGACUUCCUGUUAUCUUUUCUGUUGUUUUCUCUCAUUGAUCAGAUUCUGAUUCAUGUGCACUUGACAGCUCACGACAAGACUCCCACCAGGAUUUAAAAAAAAAGUGGGCUAGAAAAACAAUGAGCCCUGUUUUGAUCGUGGCUUCCCUUAUCUGUCCUGCAGAUGCUCUCAUUACCGAAACCGGAAACAGCAACUGAGUGGAUUCCAGCUUGGAAGAUGAAGCCUGACAAAUGCUGUGUAGCUAUUUGUCACAAAAACUGAAUUUACAAUAUUGUUUUCUGUUACAGAACAGAUGUGGUCAGGGUUUUAAGUGAUAAAACAUGUUCUGUGCCUCUGUAUUAAAACCAGCUACAAUGAUUUAGUUGAUCUUCUUGCUUUUAAAAUAUUUUGAACUAUUUGUGAUAAAUGUAUGCAUGAGGACAGGAUGUAUCUUAAAGAGUAGCUUCUCUGAAGAUCUCAUAAGUGACCUAAUUAAUCCUGAACUAGGGGCUGAAGUCAUGUAUUGUCUUGUGCACUGUAUGGCAGGUAGGGUCAUUCCGUGAGUCCCUUAAAGGUUCAUGUUGUUCUCACAGGGGAAGCCCUCUGAUUAAAUAAGUGUCACUGUGUGCUUCUGAGUGUCACUGAUAUCGUCUCUUUUACAUGAACUAAGAAUAGCUGUGUUUGUUCUGCUGUUAACUUAUUAAAAUAUGUACAUUUAUCUAAUAA